GAAAUUUGCCAACCGAGUCUUUUUGACUCUAUUGUCCAUAUCCUUGUUGAAUUUCGAGUCGGCCUUCAUCAUUGUUCAAGUUUCGAAAGCUGAAAUUCACAGGUCAAGAAACGAAGCUAUUUUACGGGUUCAAGGGAGUUGAUAUACAUCACAAUACAUGAUGAUAUACACAAGUAUACAUUCACUGUAUACAACUGAAGCAAUGACAAAAAUGGGCCAAAAAUUAACAUACAUGUUCAGAUGAUGCACCAGGC
This 254-nucleotide long non-coding RNA is filed under the name Solanum tuberosum (potato). RNAcentral's name for it is "long non-coding RNA (STUB_LNC008763)". The record is from RNAcentral. Lineage: Eukaryota; Viridiplantae; Streptophyta; Magnoliopsida; Solanales; Solanaceae.